UGCGUAUUGGAUCCCUGUCAGUUUCCUGACAUUACGACAGGGCCAUGAUGGAUCCUGCAGGUGCUAGUCCUCCUGACCCCAGAUUUGAGGCCAUGGACCAUAGAAUGGACCAAAUGGCUUUAGCGUUACAAACUUUGUUGACACGCUCCAGUACCCAGUCUGAAGAAAUACGUUCCACUGCUAGCCACUCGCUAAGUACUGGUUUGGAAGUAGC
RNAcentral lists this long non-coding RNA (214 nucleotides) under Pelobates cultripes (western spadefoot toad). Lineage: Eukaryota; Metazoa; Chordata; Amphibia; Anura; Pelobatidae. The record is from RNAcentral.